AGAGCGAACGCUGGCGGCAGGCCUAAUACAUGCAAGUCGAGCGGCCACUUCGGUGGCAGCGGCGGACGGGUGAGUAACGCGUGGGAAUGUGCCCUUUGGUACGGAACAACUGAGGGAAACUUCAGCUAAUACCGUAUGUGCCCUUCGGGGGAAAGAUUUAUUGCCAUUGGAGCAGCCCGCGUUGGAUUAGCUAGUUGGUGGGGUAAAGGCCCACAAGGCGACGAUCCAUAGCUGGUCUGAGAGGAUGAUCAGCCACACUGGGACUGAGACACGGCCCAGACUCCUACGGGAGGCAGCAGUAGGGAAUAUUGGACAAUGGGCGAAAGCCUGAUCCAGCAAUGCCGCGUGAGUGAUGAAGGCCUUAGGUUGUAAAGCUCUUUUACCCGAGAUGAUAAUGACAGUAUCGGAGAAUAAGCCCGCUAACUCCGCGCCAGCAGCCGC
RNAcentral lists this ribosomal RNA (441 nucleotides) under uncultured soil bacterium. Its description in RNAcentral is "bacterial SSU rRNA". It matches the Rfam family "Bacterial small subunit ribosomal RNA", at positions 26 to 518 of the family's 1533-position model. The record is from RNAcentral.